This 595-nucleotide ribosomal RNA is filed under the name uncultured Bacteroidota bacterium. RNAcentral's name for it is "bacterial SSU rRNA". It matches the Rfam family "Bacterial small subunit ribosomal RNA", at positions 122 to 715 of the family's 1533-position model. Lineage: Bacteria; Pseudomonadati; Bacteroidota. The record is from RNAcentral.
GAACCUGCCUCAUACUCGGGAAUAGCCUUGCGAAAGUAAGAUUAAUACCCGGUGUUUUCAGAGUCCCGCAUGAGGCUUUGAACAAAGAUUUAUCGGUAUGAGAUGGCGAUGCGUCCCAUUAGCUUGUUGGCGGGGUAACGGCCCACCAAGGCAUCGAUGGGUAGGGGUUCUGAGAGGAAGGUCCCCCACAUUGGAACUGAGACACGGUCCAAACUCCUACGGGAGGCAGCAGUGAGGAAUAUUGGUCAAUGGGCGGAAGCCUGAACCAGCCAAGUAGCGUGCAGGAAGACGGCCCUCCGGGUUGUAAACUGCUUUUAGUUGGGAAUAAAACGGGGCUCGUGAGCCCCCUCGCAUGUACCAUCAGAAAAAGGACCGGCUAAUUCCGUGCCAGCAGCCGCGGUAAUACGGAAGGUCCGGGCGUUAUCCGGAUUUAUUGGGUUUAAAGGGAGCGCAGGCGGAUCUUUAAGUCAGCUGUGAAAUACGGCGGCUCAACCGUCGAACUGCAGUUGAUACUGGAGGUCUUGAGUGCACACAGGGAUGCUGGAAUUCAUGGUGUAGCGGUGAAAUGCUCAGAUAUCACGAAGAACUCCGAUUG